AGGGGUGUCGACAAGUGGUAAGUCAGCAGAUUUUGAUUCUGUUAUACGCAGGUUCGAUCCCUGCCACCCCUACCA
Molecule: transfer RNA, 75 nt
Filed under: Bdellovibrionales bacterium
Lineage: Bacteria; Pseudomonadati; Bdellovibrionota; Bdellovibrionia; Bdellovibrionales
Description: tRNA-Gln
Rfam family: tRNA
About the family: Transfer RNA (tRNA) molecules are approximately 80 nucleotides in length. Their secondary structure includes four short double-helical elements and three loops (D, anti-codon, and T loops). Further hydrogen bonds mediate the characteristic L-shaped molecular structure. tRNAs have two regions of fundamental functional importance: the anti-codon, which is responsible for specific mRNA codon recognition, and the 3' end, to which the tRNAs corresponding amino acid is attached (by aminoacyl-tRNA synthetases). tRNAs cope with the degeneracy of the genetic code in two manners: having more than one tRNA (with a specific anti-codon) for a particular amino acid; and 'wobble' base-pairing, i.e. permitting non-standard base-pairing at the 3rd anti-codon position.
Source: RNAcentral